GCGGGUGUAGCUCAGUUGGUUAGAGCGCCGGCCUGUCACGCCGGAGGUCGCGGGUUCGAGCCCCGUCACUCGCG
Granulibacter bethesdensis CGDNIH1 is the source of this 74-nucleotide transfer RNA. It matches the Rfam family "tRNA". From Rfam's summary of the family: Transfer RNA (tRNA) molecules are approximately 80 nucleotides in length. Their secondary structure includes four short double-helical elements and three loops (D, anti-codon, and T loops). Further hydrogen bonds mediate the characteristic L-shaped molecular structure. tRNAs have two regions of fundamental functional importance: the anti-codon, which is responsible for specific mRNA codon recognition, and the 3' end, to which the tRNAs corresponding amino acid is attached (by aminoacyl-tRNA synthetases). tRNAs cope with the degeneracy of the genetic code in two manners: having more than one tRNA (with a specific anti-codon) for a particular amino acid; and 'wobble' base-pairing, i.e. permitting non-standard base-pairing at the 3rd anti-codon position. The record is from Rfam. Lineage: Bacteria; Pseudomonadati; Pseudomonadota; Alphaproteobacteria; Acetobacterales; Acetobacteraceae.